Molecule: ribosomal RNA, 499 nt
Filed under: uncultured bacterium
Lineage: Bacteria
Description: bacterial SSU rRNA
Rfam family: Bacterial small subunit ribosomal RNA
Source: RNAcentral
AUUGAACGCUGGCGGCAGGCCUAACACAUGCAAGUCGAGCGGUAGAGAGAAGCUUGCUUCUCUUGAGAGCGGCGGACGGGUGAGUAAUGCCUAGGAAUCUGCCUGGUAGUGGGGGAUAACGUUCGGAAACGGGCGCUAAUACCGCAUACGUCCUACGGGAGAAAGCAGGGGACCUUCGGGCCUUGCGCUAUCAGAUGAGCCUAGGUCGGAUUAGCUAGUUGGUGAGGUAAUGGCUCACCAAGGCGACGAUCCGUAACUGGUCUGAGAGGAUGAUCAGUCACACUGGAACUGAGACACGGUCCAGACUCCUACGGGAGGCAGCAGUGGGAAUAUUGGACAAUGGGCGAAAGCCUGAUCCAGCCAUGCCGCGUGUGUGAAGAAGGUCUUCGGAUUGUAAAGCACUUUAAGUUGGGAGGAAGGGCAGUUACCUAAUACGUGAUUGUUUUGACGUUACCGACAGAAUAAGCACCGGCUAACUCUGUGCCAGCAGCCGCGGUAA